AUGUCUUUCAAAAUGACACAGCUGGAGAAGAGAGGAGUAGUUGCCGGGGGAAGGGAUGGAGCUGGGUGGGAGUGGGGGGUUGGGGAGUCAUCGUGCUGGUGGAACGGUUCCAAGGCUCCACUAUGGCCUUGUCAGUGUCCUGGCUGUGCUAUUUUACUAGGGUUUUGCAAGAUGUCAUCUUUGAGAGACACCGGUUAAGUGUGUAGACGGUCUCCGGAUUAUUUCUUACAGCGGCAUGUGAAUCUCAAAAAGGUUUUAAUACAAAAAAAAAAAAAAGGGCUUCUCUAUAGCGAAAAUGUUCAAGCUUAGGACUCUGCUGAAUGAGCCAACAGUAAGUGUUUUCUUUUUUCUUUCUUUUUUUUUUUUUUUUUUUUGGUCUUUUUGCCAUUUCUUGGGCCGCUCCUGCGGCAUAUGGAGGUUCCCAGGCUAGGGGUCGAAUCGGAGCUGUAGCCACCGGCCUACGCCAGAGCCACAGCACCACAGGAUCCGAUCCGCGUCUGCAACCUACACCACAGCUCACGGCAACGCCGGAUCGUUAACCCACUGAGCAAGGCCAGGGACCGAACCCGCAACCUCAUGGUUCCUAGUCGGAUUUGUCAACCACUGAGCCACGACGGGAAUUCCGAGCCAACAGUAAAUUUCAUGCAUGUGGACCAGAAGUGUGUUCCAAUUGAAAUAUGCACAAUUAAAUGCCUGGGGAGUGAGAGGAGGCAACCAAUACAAGCGAAGCUUCACACCAAAACCAUUUGUGCUUCAACAUAAUUCUCCUUAGUUCCAGAAUCCCAGCUUACCCCCACCCCCCGGCACACACCCAUGCAAACACACCUUCCACCAACCUAGCCUGUCGGUGGGUCAUUUCGAAGGAGAGAGUCUCAUGAAGUGGUUUUGAUGGAAAAGAACAAAACAGGAGGGCCCCAAAGUGAGGAACCCACUCCCCGCUUGUAGCCAGAUGAGCAGAACCUCUCGGCCCAAGCUGACUCUGAAGAGCAAAGAGCCAAACCAAAAUAUCGCUCUUCACAGAACUCUUAGGAAGAGAAUUAUCUGCGUGUUCGAUCAGCACAGGUAGAGAAAUGUCAAUUAAUAGUCUGCAAAAAACCACAGCCAAUGGUGAAUCCCAAAGCUCCUGUGUCUGUGUGCACAGGUGCACAUGUGUGUGGGGGUGUGUGUGUGGGUGUGUGGGUGUGUGGGUGUGUGGGUG
RNAcentral lists this long non-coding RNA (1198 nucleotides) under Sus scrofa (pig). RNAcentral describes it as "lncRNA (ENSSSCG00015059068.1)". Lineage: Eukaryota; Metazoa; Chordata; Mammalia; Artiodactyla; Suidae. The record is from RNAcentral.